UGGGGAAUAGCUCAGUGGAGAGCACUUGCCUAUCAUGCAGGAGGUCCUAGGUUCAGUCCCUAGCACCCCCA
Molecule: transfer RNA, 71 nt
Filed under: Ictidomys tridecemlineatus (thirteen-lined ground squirrel)
Lineage: Eukaryota; Metazoa; Chordata; Mammalia; Rodentia; Sciuridae
Description: Spermophilus tridecemlineatus (thirteen-lined ground squirrel) tRNA
Rfam family: tRNA
About the family: Transfer RNA (tRNA) molecules are approximately 80 nucleotides in length. Their secondary structure includes four short double-helical elements and three loops (D, anti-codon, and T loops).
Source: Rfam by way of RNAcentral